This 253-nucleotide ribosomal RNA is filed under the name uncultured bacterium. RNAcentral describes it as "partial 16S ribosomal RNA". It matches the Rfam family "Bacterial small subunit ribosomal RNA", at positions 524 to 776 of the family's 1533-position model. The record is from RNAcentral.
UACAGAGGUCUCAAGCGUUGUUCGGAUUCAUUGGGCGUAAAGGGUGUGUAGGUGGCGCCGUAAGUCGGGUGUGAAAUUUCGGAGCUUAACUCCGAAACUGCAUUCGAUACUGCGGUGCUUGAGGACUGGAGAGGAGACUGGAAUUCAUGGUGUAGCAGUGAAAUGCGUAGAGAUCAUGAGGAAGACCAGUGGCGAAGGCGGGUCUCUGGACAGCUCCUGACACUGAGACACGAAGGCCAGGGGAGCAAACGGG